Molecule: ribosomal RNA, 850 nt
Filed under: Montenegrina stankovici
Lineage: Eukaryota; Metazoa; Mollusca; Gastropoda; Stylommatophora; Clausiliidae
Description: partial 16S ribosomal RNA
Source: RNAcentral
UAAAAUAGUCUAAGGAUAUCUCCCGAAAGUAUAAGAUCUAAGAGUACUAUAAGGUUAUAGCCUAAAGUUUAACUGCUGUAGCAUUAGCUCGUAAUAAAUAGCACCUUAGCGGUGAAAGGCCUACAAUUGUACUGAUAGCUGGAUAGUUACUAAAUAUAUUUAGUUUAUAAAUAAAUCUAUAAAGUGAUAAGAUUUUAUAGUUAGAAUUUAAAAUAUCAUUAAGAGUUACUAUUAACUAAUACUUAGCAGUACUUAUAUUGCAUUAAAAUAAUAUUAUAUACAAUAUUCUCCAGUAGUAAUUCAUUAAAUUAAAUUAACUUUAAAAUUGAUAAUGUAUAAAUAAGUAUAUUAAUGUAAAUUUAACUAAAUAAACUCGGCAAAUAUUAUAUACGACUGUUUAACAAAAACAUAGCCGGUAGUUAUUAUAUUAUCGGUGUGACCUGCCCGGUGAACUUUUAACGGCCGCAGUACUAUGACUGUGCAAAGGUAGCAUAAUCAUUUGACUUUUAAUUGAAGUCUAGUAUGAAAGGAAAAACGUAUAUGAGCUGUAUCAGGUAUAAAUUUAUUUAAGUUAUUUAUAGGGUGAAAAUACCCUAAGUAAUAAAAAUAGACGAGAAGACCCUUAGAAUUUUAAGAAAAACAUAAACAAUUAUGAGAUGAUUUUUGUUGGGGCAACAUUUUUUCAUUAAAUAAAAAAUAUUAUGACAUAACGAAAAAGUUUAAUAAAGAAAAAAUUACCUAAGGGAUAACAGCAUAAUUUUUAAUAAAGAUUGUGACCUCGAUGUUGGACUAGGAACUGUUAAGGCUAAUCGUUUUAAUAUAAUAUGUUCUGUUCGAACUUUACUUCCUA